This 301-nucleotide ribosomal RNA is filed under the name uncultured bacterium. RNAcentral's name for it is "partial 16S ribosomal RNA". It matches the Rfam family "Bacterial small subunit ribosomal RNA", at positions 509 to 807 of the family's 1533-position model. The record is from RNAcentral.
CAGCCGCCGCGGUAAUACGGAGGGGGCUAGCGUUGUUCGGAAUUACUGGGCGUAAAGCGCACGUAGGCGGCUUGGUAAGUUAGAGGUGAAAGCCUGGAGCUCAACUCCAGAAUUGCCUUUAAGACUGCCGAGCUAGCAGGUGAGAGAGGUAAGUGGAAUUCCGAGUGUAGAGGUGAAAUUCGUAGAUAUUCGGAAGAACACCAGUGGCGAAGGCGGCUUGCUGGCUCAUACUGGACGCUGAGGUGCGAAAGCGUGGGGAGCAAACAGGAUUAGAGACCCCAGUAGUCCCUGUCUCUUAUAC